AAAUAUGAGCACCAGAGACAAGGUGGGUUGCUUCAACAGAUAGAGAUCUCGGAGUGGAAAUGGUGUUAGAAAAUACGCUUAACGUUAGAGGGGGGGGGGUGAAUAGCGUUAUAAUAAAAUUGAGCGUAAACUUGCGGAAAUUAAAAUUUGCAGGAAAUAAAUAAGUGCGUUAAAUAAACAAAAAGGAAAGAACGCACCGAUAUAUUCUGGUUCAC
Molecule: long non-coding RNA, 215 nt
Filed under: Nicotiana benthamiana
Lineage: Eukaryota; Viridiplantae; Streptophyta; Magnoliopsida; Solanales; Solanaceae
Description: long non-coding RNA (NBEN_LNC029058)
Source: RNAcentral